RNAcentral lists this long non-coding RNA (533 nucleotides) under Parus major (Great Tit). RNAcentral's name for it is "lncRNA (ENSPMJG00000008848.1)". The record is from RNAcentral. Lineage: Eukaryota; Metazoa; Chordata; Aves; Passeriformes; Paridae.
AUGUUUAAGACAAUACUUGUGUUCAUUCUAUUGUUUACAGGAUAUCCUUGUAAUUCUGCGUAUGAAAACAAAACAGGUGAUAUUACACCUUCAAAGAGAGAUUAUGAAAAUACCCUAAAUUCUUCACUAGAUCUUGCAACUGGAACACAGGACCGUGAUCAUGUUGCAGGAAGAAGUCUGCCAACUCUAGUAGUGGCAGGAGUCAGCAUUGCCCUUGUGUUGCUCUGUGUUCUUAUCGUUUCUGUUUUUUGGUAUGCAUGGAAAAAAUCACAGGAAGGUUCAAUUGAACUCAAUCCUAUCCCCUACGGUGAGGCUGAAGUGUCCUUACGAAGCGUUUCGAUGCCUGAGAACCAAAAGGAGUGGCCUUUUGAGAGAGCAGUGCAGUGACAGCAGGAGAGCUGCUGCAUAACCCUCUGGGAAAAAAGAAAAGCCCUCUCAAUUGUAGAUAGUUGAACAGCACGCUCAAAAGAGCUGUAUCUGCAAAAAAAGUUACAUUCUUGAAGUAAUAAAUGUCCUUGUUAGGGAAAAUGUCA